CACGCAGUAAACGAUGAUUACUGGCUGUUUGCGAUACAAUGUAAGCGGCUGAGCGAAAGCGUUAAGUAAUCCACCUGGGGAGUACGUUCGCAAGAAUGAAACUCAAAGGAAUUGACGGGGGCCCGCACAAGCGGAGGAACAUGUGGUUUAAUUCGAUGAUACGCGAGGAACCUUACCCGGGCUUGAAAUGCAUCUGACAGGCAAAGAGAUUUGCCCUUUCUUCGGAACAGAUGUGUAGGUGC
RNAcentral lists this ribosomal RNA (242 nucleotides) under uncultured bacterium. RNAcentral's name for it is "partial 16S ribosomal RNA". It matches the Rfam family "Bacterial small subunit ribosomal RNA", at positions 796 to 1041 of the family's 1533-position model. The record is from RNAcentral.